RNAcentral lists this ribosomal RNA (514 nucleotides) under uncultured Acaulospora. RNAcentral's name for it is "SSU rRNA". It matches the Rfam family "Eukaryotic small subunit ribosomal RNA", at positions 569 to 1081 of the family's 1831-position model. Lineage: Eukaryota; Fungi; Glomeromycota; Glomeromycetes; Diversisporales; Acaulosporaceae. The record is from RNAcentral.
AGCAGCCGCGGUAAUUCCAGCUCCAAUAGCGUAUAUUAAAGUUGUUGCAGUUAAAAAGCUCGUAGUUGAAUUUCGGAAUCUGUCCGUUGGUCGGGCUUAAUUGUCCGUACUGAUGUGAUGGGUUCUUACCUUCUGAAUAACCAGCAUGCCAUUAAUUUAGUGUGUUGGGGAAGCAGGACUAUUACCUUGAAAAAAUUAGAGUGCUCAAAGCAGGCUAAUGCCUGAAUACAUUAGCAUGGAAUAAUAAAAUAGGACGGCAUGGUUCUAUUUUGUUGGUUUCUAGGAUCACCGUAAUGAUUAAUAGGGAUAGUUGGGGGCAUUAGUAUUCAAUUGCCUGAGGUGAAAUUCUUGGAUUUAUUGAAGACUAACUACUGCGAAAGCAUUUGCCAAGGAUGUUUUCAUUAAUCAAGAACGAAAGUUAGGGGAUCGAAGACGAUCAGAUACCGUCGUAGUCUUAACCAUAAACUAUGCCGACUAGGGAUCGGAUGAUGUUAAUUUUUUAAUGUACUCAUUC